Molecule: long non-coding RNA, 305 nt
Filed under: Ananas comosus (pineapple)
Lineage: Eukaryota; Viridiplantae; Streptophyta; Magnoliopsida; Poales; Bromeliaceae
Description: long non-coding RNA (ACOM_LNC016048)
Source: RNAcentral
AGUGUUAGUGAAACAAUGGCAUUGUAUUGUUUUUUUUUUUUUUUUUUGAGAGAGAGAGAGAGAUAGGUAGCACGCUACCACUUUAUUUAUUUUAUUUAGAAAUAAACUUAGCUGAAAAUGUGAAUCAAUUAAAAUUCGAAUUUGAGAUCUCGAGUAUCAACCAUAAAAUCCUUUGCCACUUGCUCUAAGGACGGUCAAUAAUGACAUUGUAUUGUUAAGGUUAAUUUUGAGUCUAUUUUCUAUCAGAUUGAUUUAUGUUAUUUCUGUCGUUCCUAAAGCCUCCUCCCUUUUAAAAAGUUUUGAGG